RNAcentral lists this ribosomal RNA (253 nucleotides) under uncultured bacterium. Its description in RNAcentral is "partial 16S ribosomal RNA". It matches the Rfam family "Bacterial small subunit ribosomal RNA", at positions 524 to 776 of the family's 1533-position model. The record is from RNAcentral.
UACGAAGGGGGCUAGCGUUGCUCGGAAUCACUGGGCGUAAAGGGUGCGUAGGCGGGUCUUUAAGUCAGGGGGGAAAUCCUGGAGCUCAACUCCAGAACUGCCUUUGAUACUGAGGAUCUUGAGUUCGGGAGAGGUGAGUGGAACUGCGAGUGUAGAGGUGAAAUUCGUAGAUAUUCGGAAGAACACCAGUGGCGAAGGCGGCUCACUGGUCCGGUACUGACGCUGAGGUGCGAAAGCGUGGGGAGCAAACAGG